AAAUUUCAAACUAGAUAGGAAUCUUUUCCCAGCUUAAAAGAUGAUCAAUCACGAGUAUCACGCUUACGUUAAAAAUAGCAAUAUGUCUAGGUAGGUACAGACGAGUUGGUGGAUGAAACCGCGUACCAAUCCGAUGUCGACUGCUGUUGUCAGAACCAUUUUUAUUUAUUAAAAAAAAAAAAAAAAAAAAAAAGGCAUCAGCUUCCCAAAUCCCCUCCCCCAAAACCCCUCAUCCUCUCAAACCCGCUCUCUCCCAUCUUUCUCACUGCCAACGCAGUCCCAUCCUCAAUUACCGCCUUCUAAACAAUGCUCGCCCCGCUGGCUCCCAGCAUAUAUGCCGAGGCCUUGUAAACGUCUCUAUCACGUUAUCAAAGAUCUCACUUCGUCUCGGUGGUUAGAAUUUUUUCUACAAUUAAAACUUCCAUUUUACUAUCUGCUUCUUCAUUUCUUUCUCUAAAUCUCUACGCUUGCUCUCUGUUGAAGCAAUAACACACUCUGGCACUCUGCAGCCACGAUCCAUGGUAGUGCGCAUGGCAAGGCACAAACCAACACUGCUGUACCAGACAGCACAGACCACAACCAGAAGCAAACAAAGAACUCAUGCACAACGGCUACAACAGAGCUUCUGCCAAAAGCAUCUUCAAGAGAACCAAUGAAAGAGCUCCAAGUGUCCUAGGUCUAGAAUAUCAUUUUCAAUCCUUGUGUAAAUCUGAAUUGAUUCUUUGAAUAGUUUUUGGAUAUAAAUAGCACACAAAUGUAAUGAACAGUAGGUUGGAAAUAUACAAGAAUACAAAGGAAAAUUUUCCUCUCUAGUUGCGUCAUUUCAUCAAGCACCUUGUGUGUAUUGCAGUUUACUCCAUACGUGAUUUAUUACUCUCCCUCCUUUUGUUGGCAUUCUGUGCGGCAAGACUACCUUGGUUAAAGUUGGUUGCUUCUGAAGUCUCUUCGCCGAGGCAGGACCAAGCCAUGGGGUUUAUGCGAACCGCGUCGUGUUUGAUGCUCGCUUCUACUUUCUUUUCUUACUUCGUUGCCGCAUUUUUUGGUUUGAGAAUGUUGAGUGAGAGAUCGAUUGUAUAAUUUUGCGGUAUUUGUUCUGAGAACUCUGGUGGAAUUAUAUUGUUGAAAGCCACCCAAGUGGCAUGAGUUGCACAUGCACCGUAAGGUGCAUUGUUUUGGUAGGUACCGUUUGGUGCUUUGUUUUUGUUAGGCAUCCAUCCCAUAAUUUUAGCAGAAAUUUGCUGCACCGUAUUCAGCAGUUGAGGAGAACUCCUUCUAUAAA
This is a long non-coding RNA of Carya illinoinensis, 1279 nucleotides long. RefSeq lists it as uncharacterized. NCBI's taxonomy places the organism in Eukaryota, Viridiplantae, Streptophyta, Magnoliopsida, Fagales, Juglandaceae. The record is from RefSeq and is a predicted model, not a curated record. The transcript has 2 exons.